Molecule: long non-coding RNA, 1685 nt
Organism: Ziziphus jujuba (common jujube)
Lineage: Eukaryota; Viridiplantae; Streptophyta; Magnoliopsida; Rosales; Rhamnaceae
Exons: 2
Source: RefSeq, a predicted model, not a curated record
CCGGAGCGGGAGAUUGUGGGUUCGAGUCCCAUCGCGAUCGUUUUCUUUCUUAAUUAAUUUGUUUAUUUUAUUUUUAUUUUUUUAAAGUUAGGAUAAAAAGUAAUCUGCUUCCUACUACUCUGGUUUCUCUCGAAGUCUACAAAUGUUCCAUGCGUUAGAGUAAAUGGCAAAGAGCUUUGGACACCCAUCUUUCUACCAUAAUAUAGUUUGUUUUAAAUAUACAUAAAAUUCUAAGUGCUUAGAUAUAUGUUUUAUCAUAUUUCAGGGAGAGUAGUCUUGUAUCAUACGUUAUUAUAUAUUCUCUCUGAUCAAAGCCUCAAGUCAGAUUCUCCUCUUAAGUAAGAAAGCACUUACUUUUUGUUAAUUGCUCGAGCAAGUUUUUCCAAAUAAAGUUUGCCUGAUACAAUAUCAUAGAAAUUAUCUAAGAAACAGGUUCUACAUCCAUCUCUUGUAUUCACUAAGCAGCCUUUUUUGAUUUGCUCGUUCUUCGACUGUAACGGUGGACUUCUACCUUUCUCUUGCUACUUAUAAUUUACAUGUGGGAAAGGUUUCAGUAGUUGCAAGUUCUCUCAACUUCAGAUUAGAUGUUAACGCGCGCGCACACACACACACACACACGUACUUCUGGUUUCUUGCAGUCCGCACACACAUAACACACACUUACUUCUGGUUUCUUGCAGUCCGCAUCCUCCACACACACACACACACAAACACGUACUUCUGGUUUCUUGCGGUCCGCAUCCUCCACACACACACACACACAAACACGUUUCUUGCAGUCCGCAUCCUCCACACACACGUACCAUACACACACACACACACACACACACACACACACACACACACGUACUUCUGGUUUCUUGCAGUCCGCAUCCUCCACACACACGUACCACACACGCACACACACACACACACACACACACACACACGUACUUCUGGUUUCUUGCAGUCCGCAUCCUCCACACACACACACACACACACACACACACACACUCUUACACUUCUGGUUUCUUGCAGUCCGCAUCCUCCACAUUAUGGAUAGUUUUGCAAAAUUAAGCAUCCACACACACACAAUUCUGGUUUCUUGCACACACUUCUGGUUUCUUGCAGUCCGCAUCCUCCACAUUAUGGAUAGUUUUGCAAAAGUAAGCAUCCACACACACACACACACACACACACACACACACACAAUUCUGGUUUCUUGCAGUCCGCAUCCUCCACAUUAUGGAUAGUUUUGCAAAAGCGCAUCCACCACAUUAUGGAUAGUUUUGCAAAAGUAAGCAUCCACACACACACAGUUCUGGUUUCUUGCAGUCCGCAUCCUCCACAUUAUGGAUAGUUUUGCAAAAGCGCAUCCGCCACAUUAUGGAUAGUUUUGCAAAAGUAAGCAUCAUAAGUGGAAUUUUUUUAUUUAUUCUGGUAACAGAGAAACACACACACACCUCAAUUACAUGAUUCUGGUAUCUUGCAGUCCGCAUCCUCCACAUUAUGGAUAGUUUUGCAAAAGUUUCAAGAGUUAGGUCGCUUAAUGAGUUUGAUUCAAAGUUCUCUGGUUGAUCUUCUACCACACGUUUUGCCGGCAAAUGUAAAGAGUGUAAAUUGACUGGAUUGUAUAGGAUUUAUGAUGAAACACCGUAUUGUUGUAUUCUAUUUCGGUUGAAUUUAUUGAUGUAAAAAAUUAACUA